GACGAACCGUACAAACGUUAUUCGGAAUCACUGGGCUUAAAGGGUGCGUAGGCGGCCCGGGAAGUUGGGUGUGAAAGCCCUCGGCUCAACCGAGGAAUUGCGCCCAAAACUGCCGGGCUCGAGGGAGGCAGAGGUAAGCGGAACUUAGGGUGGAGCGGUGAAAUGCGUUGAUAUCCUAAGGAACACCAGGAGCGAAAGCGGCUUACUGGGCCUCUUCUGACGCUGAGGCACGAAAGCUAGGGGAGCGAACGGG
This 253-nucleotide ribosomal RNA is filed under the name uncultured bacterium. Its description in RNAcentral is "partial 16S ribosomal RNA". It matches the Rfam family "Bacterial small subunit ribosomal RNA", at positions 524 to 776 of the family's 1533-position model. The record is from RNAcentral.